RNAcentral lists this transfer RNA (72 nucleotides) under Dermatophagoides pteronyssinus (European house dust mite). RNAcentral's name for it is "tRNA-Gln". It matches the Rfam family "tRNA". From Rfam's summary of the family: Transfer RNA (tRNA) molecules are approximately 80 nucleotides in length. Their secondary structure includes four short double-helical elements and three loops (D, anti-codon, and T loops). Lineage: Eukaryota; Metazoa; Arthropoda; Arachnida; Sarcoptiformes; Pyroglyphidae. RNAcentral also lists the same sequence under 1 other name. The record is from RNAcentral.
GGCUCCAUGGUGUAGUGGCUAUCACUCUGGACUUUGAAUCCAGCAACCCGAGUUCGAAUCUCGGUGGGGCCU